AGCCUUCUAUAUCCGUGCUGAGAUUUCGUCACACACCAGACCACAAGGGC
This 50-nucleotide microRNA precursor is filed under the name Schistosoma margrebowiei. RNAcentral describes it as "mir-3492 microRNA precursor family". It matches the Rfam family "mir-3492 microRNA precursor family", at positions 1 to 50 of the family's 79-position model. Lineage: Eukaryota; Metazoa; Platyhelminthes; Trematoda; Strigeidida; Schistosomatidae. The record is from Rfam by way of RNAcentral.